UACAGAGGGUGCGAGCGUUAAUCGGAAUUAUUGGGCGUAAAGGGCGCGUAGGUGGCUCUAUAAGUUAAGUGUGAAAUCCCAUGGCUUAACCAUGGAAUUGCACUUGAUACUGUGGAGCUAGAGUAUGGUAGAGGGAAGUGGAAUUUCCGGAGUAGCGGUGAAAUGCGUAGAUACCGGAAGGAACACCAGUGGCGAAGGCGGCUUCCUGGACCAAUACUGACACUGAGGCGCGACAGCGUGGGGAGCAAAC
RNAcentral lists this ribosomal RNA (250 nucleotides) under uncultured bacterium. RNAcentral describes it as "partial 16S ribosomal RNA". It matches the Rfam family "Bacterial small subunit ribosomal RNA", at positions 524 to 773 of the family's 1533-position model. The record is from RNAcentral.